Molecule: ribosomal RNA, 468 nt
Filed under: uncultured bacterium
Lineage: Bacteria
Description: partial 16S ribosomal RNA
Rfam family: Bacterial small subunit ribosomal RNA
Source: RNAcentral
GACGAACGCUGGCGGCGUGCUUAACACAUGCAAGUCGAACGGAAAGGCCCUGCUUUUGUGGGGUGCUCGAGUGGCGAACGGGUGAGUAACACGUGAGUAACCUGCCCUUGACUUUGGGAUAACUUCAGGAAACUGGGGCUAAUACCGGAUAGGAGCUCCUGCUGCAUGGUGGGGGUUGGAAAGUUUCGGCGGGUGGGGAUGGACUCGCGGCUUAUCAGCUUGUUGGUGGGGUAGUGGCUUACCAAGGCUUUGACGGGUAGCCGGCCUGAGAGGGUGAACGGCCACAAUGGGACUGAGAUACGGCCCAGACUCCUACGGGAGGCAGCAGUGGGGAAUAUUGCACAAUGGGCGGAAGCCUGAUGCAGCAACGCCGCGUGCGGGAUGACGGCCUUCGGGUUGUAAACCGCUUUCGCCUGUGACGAAGCGUGAGUGACGGUAAUGGGUAAAGAAGCACCGGCUAACUACGUG